Long non-coding RNA from Cucumis sativus (cucumber), 3100 nucleotides. RefSeq lists it as uncharacterized. The record is from RefSeq and is a predicted model, not a curated record. NCBI's taxonomy places the organism in Eukaryota, Viridiplantae, Streptophyta, Magnoliopsida, Cucurbitales, Cucurbitaceae. The transcript is spliced from 3 exons.
GAUUUUCUCUCUCUCGAAGCCACACAAUUUACAUCUCUUUCUUUCCUUCCCUUUUAAGUCUAAUCUUACUGUCUUCCCCUAAUCUUUUCUCCCAAACGGCCGUCGCAAGAAAUCCUCGUGCCCAACCUUUCUGUCAUCGAACCACCACGUGCCCAACCUUGCGUCGUCGAACACCACUGUCAUUUUGCUUGCCGAGCAGCUUCGUGUAAAAAGCUUUGACCGCGUGAAAAGAUUUGACCUCGUGUUGUCGAUCGCUGAACAGCUUCGACCGCCGUUGUGUUUGCCACCACCGUCGGAUCUGGUUAGUUCGUGGCCAGAUUUGCAUUUGAAGUGCCACCCACUGAACGCCUUAACUAAUAAACGACACGUAAUAAAUGUGUAAGUUUAAAAUUAUAUUUCCCGUUUCUCUUCUCUAAUUCUCUUUGUUCUUGUUUGACAAAAUUUCUUUGUGAAGAAGAUGCAGAAGCUCUUUUCUGCCACAACUGCUUGUGCUUCGAUUUUUUGGAGACAGAGAUAAUAUCUACAAAAAUGAUCGAGUACAUUGGUUACUGCCUCUGUUGUGGCAGCCACUUUGCUGGUCUUGUAUAUGAAAUGAAGGAUUUUCUUGAGUGAACUAAUGGAAAAGGGGUCUUCCUAUUCUUCUUCUUUGAUUAUUUUUGCACCAAACGUCUUAGUUCUUUGAGGCUGUCAUUCACCUUAGUGCAAGAGCAUAUAGUUUAGUUUUUUUCCCUAAUUAAUUAUUAAUUUUUCUUUCUAUUUUAUUAUAAGUUUAACUUCUUUUUUAAUAAUUUUUGCAGAGGCUAGACCUAAGAGCUUGAUGAGAGUUACGGAAUCAUGGACCUUAGUCUUUACCAUCUCAACAACCAUUUAUAUAGGCUUUUUCUUUCAAUAACUUCUAUUGUUUAUCAUAUAAUAUACAAUCCUCAUUUUGAGAAAACAAAUUGUUAUUACUUAUUUUGUACUAGAAAUACAAGUUGUGAAAAAUCUAGAAUUCUGAAACCUAUGCUCAACACAAGCUGAAAGGUUAUAAUUAUUCCCAAUAAUAAAUUUUUAACUUUUUAGUUGCAUCAGUAAGAAGAAAUAUUUCAAUUUUUUGAGUUUACAUUGUGUAUGUGGAUUCUUUUAUAGGGUGUUGAAGUGGUGUUGAUUUUCAUUUUUUGUGAAUAGUUUCAUUUUGUUUUUCUAACUUAGAUAAUGGAAAUUUAGAUACUCAUCCUCUAUCUUUCCUUGAAGUUACAGGAGUAUUUAAAGAAAGGGAGGAGAAGAAAUCAGGUAUAAUGGGAUGGGAUACAUUCAGUUGGUACAUUUGUUUCUCAUCUUUAUUAUUAGCGUUAUUUUUUCAUUUGGGUUUAAAUUUGAUUGGUUCGUGCCUUUCCAUCUUCUUUUAAGCUUUUUUCCUUAAUUGGUAUCAUUUCUAAUUAUGCAACUAAAGAAAGAAAAUGACACUACUAGAUUGAUGGCCUCGAAGCUUUGAACUGAUAAGGGCUCGUUCUUCGACUCCAGUUGAUACUCUGAUAUCUUCCUUGUGAAAAAGUACAUCCAUUAUGAAGAUGGAAACAAGAGGUUAUUACAAUUGUUUGAAUUUCUUAGCAUGAUUCAGUCAAAUGAUCGUUCUGAUGAUAUUACAUAUCUUGCUCAACAUCCAUUAUUUGACAAAGGUAUGUACUGAUAUUUUCUGUUUAGCAUUUUAUAGUAUUCAAAGAACUGGUAUAUUAAUGUGGAGAUUUUUAGGGAAUAAUUGUGGAUUUUACACUGUUUACUUUUUUUUUUUUAAACUUCUAUGAUUAGCAUGAUAAGUAGAUUAAAUUGAAGACGUAAGGGAAUGCUUAGAUGUUUAGUUCAAGUAAGUUGUGUAUUUCUACCUCUUACUCUCGUUUCAAGAUUUAGAGACAGACAUGCGAAAUAAUGUUUUAAUCUGAGUCUCACUCUUUUUUCAGUCAAGCCUCAAAUCAAAUAACAUUUAUUGAUCAAUAGCCAAAAAAAAUUAAGCAAAAGCAUAUAGAACAUACCAUUUUAGAUGAAAGAUAAUUAGCACCAUGAAAAGUCUUUGAUGAAAUGAAUUAGCAUAAGAAAAACGAUAAUCCUGGUGAAAUUUUUUGAUGAACAUGAGGGAUAAAAACCUUUCAUGAUCUUAGAGAGACUAGACCUCGAAUUUUAUAUGUUUUUGGAAAAAAUUUCAAUGCAAACGCUCUAUUGUUUUGACUUGUCCAAUUAGCAAAUAACAGGGAUCUGGUAACUGUUUGGAUGAGAUCUGAAGAAAAAAGGUAAUUCUAAAAGCAUCAUGUGAAUAUUGGUAUGAACAUAUCAAUUUCAAUGUGAUUAUUUGAUAACCAAAGAUAAGCCCCAUUAUUGUUUGUCAUGAUCAAUCAGUAGUAGGGAAUAAAUUUGGAACUGUCUUCAGUAUAAGAAAGUGUCUAGUUUCCCUAGCCUUUAGUAAAAAAUAAAUUUGAAACUGUCUUCUUCAAGUAUCUGUCUCGUAGUUUUAUACUUUGUUUAAUCUCUAUUUGGUAUGAUUAAUUUUUUUUUUGUUUGGUGUAUAUCAUUGAACUAAGAAAUAAGAGCAAGUUUUGAUAGAAAUAUCUGGAUUGUUUGGUACAGAUAGACAUUGAGUUUAUAAUAUUUGACUGUUUUUGAAAUGUUUGAGUUGAUUUGACUCAUGUUCUAUUGUUUAUUUUUCUAAAAGAUAUUGCUCGAGUCAGUGAACUCCAUGAAAAGAUCUUUUGUUGUGGAUCUUCCAUGUAUUUAUUCUAUUUAAUUUUACCAAUACUAGCAGUCUUUUGUUACAUAUAUUUGGCUAAUCGAUUUAGUUUCAAACGUUUUUAUCUUUUACUUGAAUUAUAUGAUAGUGUUCAGAAACGUUUUUACUCCACUUUUUUUUUUUCAAAUCUGCCUUGUUAAAAUUGUAAAGAUUAAAUGUUUGAUUAGGUAUUGUUUGUAGAAUGAUUGAAGUCAUAUCGGGUUGAAACCUAAGCGAUUGUGUUGAUAGCCAAGCGAUUGUUGAAGGUUGAAGACUGAGAAGGCGUUUAGGAUUUUCUUAUUUAAGUCUUGUAUUAAGAUUUUGUUUCAUGUAAUUGUUGUAGAAUGUAUAUAUAACCCAAUA